AGAGUUUGAUCCUGGCUCAGGAUGUACGCCGGCGGUGUGCUUAAUACAUGCAAGUCGUACGCACUGGCCCAACUGAUUGAUGGUGCUUGCACCUGAUUGACGAUGGAUCACCAGUGAGUGGCGGACGGGUGAGUAACACGUAGGCAACCUGCCCCGGAGCGGGGGAUAACAUUUGGAAACAGAUGCUAAUACCGCAUAACAACAAAAGUCACAUGGCUUUUGUUUGAAAGAUGGCUUUGGCUAUCACUCUGGGAUGGACCUGCGGUGCAUUAGCUAGUUGGUAAGGUAACGGCUUACCAAGGCGAUGAUGCAUAGCCGAGUUGAGAGACUGAUCGGCCACAAUGGAACUGAGACACGGUCCAUACUCCUACGGGAGGCAGCAGUAGGGAAUCUUCCACAAUGGGCGCAAGCCUGAUGGAGCAACACCGCGUGAGUGAAGAAGGGUUUCGGCUCGUAAAGCUCUGUUGUUGGAGAAGAACGUGCGUGAGAGUAACUGUUCACGCAGUGACGGUAUCCAACCAGAAAGUCACGGCUAACUACGUGCCAGCAGCCGCGGUAAUACGUAGGUGGCAAGCGUUAUCCGGAUUUAUUGGGCGUAAAGCGAGCGCAGGCGGUUGCUUAGGUCUGAUGUGAAAGCCUUCGGCUUAACCGAAGAAGUGCAUCGGAAACCGGGCGACUUGAGUGCAGAAGAGGACAGUGGAACUCCAUGUGUAGCGGUGGAAUGCGUAGAUAUAUGGAAGAACACCAGUGGCGAAGGCGGCUGUCUGGUCUGUAACUGACGCUGAGGCUCGAAAGCAUGGGUAGCGAACAGGAUUAGAUACCCUGGUAGUCCAUGCCGUAAACGAUGAGUGCUAGGUGUUGGAGGGUUUCCGCCCUUCAGUGCCGGAGCU
This 890-nucleotide ribosomal RNA is filed under the name uncultured bacterium. Its description in RNAcentral is "bacterial SSU rRNA". It matches the Rfam family "Bacterial small subunit ribosomal RNA", at positions 8 to 853 of the family's 1533-position model. The record is from RNAcentral.